RNAcentral lists this unclassified non-coding RNA (208 nucleotides) under Hevea brasiliensis (rubber tree). Lineage: Eukaryota; Viridiplantae; Streptophyta; Magnoliopsida; Malpighiales; Euphorbiaceae. The record is from RNAcentral.
CUUCCAUAUUUGCUGAAAAGGUAUUCAAGAUCUCUUGACCGUGUACGAGAAGCCAGAUGACCAACAUAUAGACGUGUAUUGGCAUAUCGAUCAUCAUAACGCGGCAUUUUUUUUCAAGCUGAAAAGGUGAAAGCCCUAAAUUCAGAUUGAAGGCUCAAAGGGCCAAGGUCUUCUUCUUCUCCGCAGGAAGAGGCAAACGAUAGGGGCG